CGCUCAUCCGGGAAACACUGAGAACAGGCUAAGCGGUCGCUGGUGGGCACUGGGAACACAGCAGUAGAGGCGAUGGUCAGAGAGCCAGAGUCUGAUGCGAUAGCAAUGGGGAAAAGGCGGUGGAUUUGAUCUUGAUCGGACUGGACCUGGUUCUUGCUCCACAGCUACAGAUUAGCCCCUUUAGCAAGGAGAGUGUGAUUAGGCUAGAAGAAGAUGACACAAGAAAAGCCGAAUGCCAACAGUUGACAUAACCAGCUCUAUUGGACGCCGAGUCUCUGCUCCUGCCGGCCACCACUUUCUAGUGCCAACUUGUGCUGGACACCGUAGAUGGUCAUCCCUAAGUCAGAGCAGCUGCAAUAUGGAGCGGCAUUUCCCCCGUAACUGGCUGUAA
RNAcentral lists this long non-coding RNA (391 nucleotides) under Fukomys damarensis (Damara mole-rat). RNAcentral's name for it is "lncRNA (ENSFDAG00000024804.1)". The record is from RNAcentral. Lineage: Eukaryota; Metazoa; Chordata; Mammalia; Rodentia; Bathyergidae.